This 253-nucleotide ribosomal RNA is filed under the name uncultured bacterium. Its description in RNAcentral is "partial 16S ribosomal RNA". It matches the Rfam family "Bacterial small subunit ribosomal RNA", at positions 524 to 776 of the family's 1533-position model. The record is from RNAcentral.
UACAGAGGUCUCAAGCGUUGUUCGGAUUCAUUGGGCGUAAAGGGUGCGUAGGCGGCGGGGCAAGUCGGAUGUGAAAGCCCCCGGCUCAACUGGGGAGGGUCACGCGAUACUGAUCGACUCGAAGGCAGGAGAGGGUAGUGGAAUUCCCGGUGUAGCGGUGAAAUGCGUAGAUAUCAGGAGGAACACCGGCGGUGUAGACGGCUAUCUGGACAGCAACUGACGCUGAGACACGAAAGCGUGGGGAGCAAACAGG